GGAAGGUUCCAGAACAAUCAGGAACGUUCUGGAAACAAUUAAGGCAGACAGACUGAUUAGAACACCUGCAGCCAAUCAAGAAGCUGCUAGAAUCAAUUAAGACAUGCUAAUCAGGACACCUGGGUUUAAAAAGAAGCUCAUGCCAGUUUGUGGUGUGUGUGAGGAGCUGGGAGCAAGAGGCACCAGGAGCUGAGAGUGAGAAGGCGUACUGCUGGAGGACUGAGGAGUACAAGCAUUAUCAGACACCAGGAGGAAGGUCCUACGAACAAGAUCCCAUUGCUGGAAACUGAAGAUUGACAAAUUAAGACUAGAAGUGAUGGGAUUAGCGUGCAUUCCUCCACCUUCCCACCAGUGCCUCUGCCUAUCGUCUUCCAGGGUGCAUCAUUAUUUUAUUACACAACCUGCAGGGCUGAUGUUGAUCUGAAGCUGAUA
This is a non-coding RNA of Caretta caretta (loggerhead turtle), 432 nucleotides long. Lineage: Eukaryota; Metazoa; Chordata; Testudines; Cheloniidae. The record is from RefSeq and is a predicted model, not a curated record.